This 253-nucleotide ribosomal RNA is filed under the name uncultured bacterium. RNAcentral describes it as "partial 16S ribosomal RNA". It matches the Rfam family "Bacterial small subunit ribosomal RNA", at positions 524 to 776 of the family's 1533-position model. The record is from RNAcentral.
UACGGAGGGUGCAAGCGUUAUCCGGAUUUAUUGGGUUUAAAGGGUCCGUAGGCGGAUUUGUAAGUCAGUGGUGAAAUCUCACAGCUUAACUGUGAAACUGCCAUUGAUACUGCAAGUCUUGAGUGUUGUUGAAGUAGCUGGAAUAAGUAGUGUAGCGGUGAAAUGCAUAGAUAUUACUUAGAACACCAAUUGCGAAGGCAGGUUACUAAGCAACAACUGACGCUGAUGGACGAAAGCGUGGGGAGCGAACAGG